AUUGAACGCUGGCGGCAUGCCUUACACAUGCAAGUCGAACGGUAACGCGGGGCAACCUGGCGACGAGUGGCGAACGGGUGAGUAAUGUAUCGGAACGUGCCCAGUAGUGGGGGAUAGCCCGGCGAAAGCCGGAUUAAUACCGCAUGAGACCUGAGGGUGAAAGCGGGGGAUCGCAAGACCUCGCGCUAUUGGAGCGGCCGAUAUCAGAUUAGGUAGUUGGUGGGGUAAAGGCCUACCAAGCCGACGAUCUGUAGCUGGUCUGAGAGGACGACCAGCCACACUGGGACUGAGACACGGCACAGACUCCUACGGGAGGCAGCAGUGGGGAAUUUUGGACAAUGGGCGCAGGCCUGAUCCAGCCAUGCCGCGUGCGGGAAGAAGGCCUUCGGGUUGUAAACCGCUUUUGUCAGGGAAGAAAUCCCUUGGGUCAAUACCUCGGGGGGAUGACGGUACCUGAAGAAUAAGCACCGGCUAACUACGUGCCAGCCGCCGCCGUAA
RNAcentral lists this ribosomal RNA (498 nucleotides) under uncultured bacterium. RNAcentral's name for it is "partial 16S ribosomal RNA". It matches the Rfam family "Bacterial small subunit ribosomal RNA", at positions 29 to 523 of the family's 1533-position model. The record is from RNAcentral.